UCAGAACGAACGCUGGCGGCACUGCCUAACACAUGCAAGUCGAACGAGACCUUCGGGUCUAGUGGCGCACGGGUGCGUAACACGUGGAAUUGCCUCGGGGUAUGGAAUAACUCAGGGAAACUUGAGCUAAUACCAUAUAAUGUCUUCGGACCAAAGAUUUAUCGCCCUGAGAUAAGCCCGCGUAGGAUUAGCUAGUUGGUGGGGUAAAGGCCUACCAAGGCGACGAUCCAUAGCUGGUCUGAGAGGAUGAUCAGCCACAUUGGGACUGAGACACGGCCCAAACUCCUACGGGAGGCAGCAGUGGGGAAUAUUGGACAAUGGGCGCAAGCCUGAUCCAGCCAUGCCGCGUGAGUGAUGAAGGCCCUAGGGUUGUAAAGCUCUUUCACCGGUGAAGAUAAUGACGGUAACCGGAGAAGAAGCCCCGGCUAACUUCGUG
Molecule: ribosomal RNA, 436 nt
Filed under: uncultured bacterium
Lineage: Bacteria
Description: bacterial SSU rRNA
Rfam family: Bacterial small subunit ribosomal RNA
Source: RNAcentral